AAAUAUUAAAAAAAAAGAAAAAAACUCCUUUACGCUUCGACAGGCACAUCACAUGCAUGAACAAAGACCAACUUUUCAGCUGUACAGGAGCUGAAUCCC
Long non-coding RNA from Xiphophorus couchianus (Monterrey platyfish), 99 nucleotides. RefSeq lists it as uncharacterized. NCBI's taxonomy places the organism in Eukaryota, Metazoa, Chordata, Actinopteri, Cyprinodontiformes, Poeciliidae. The transcript has 3 exons. The record is from RefSeq and is a predicted model, not a curated record.